This 1488-nucleotide long non-coding RNA is filed under the name Oryctolagus cuniculus (rabbit). Its description in RNAcentral is "lncRNA (ENSOCUG00000038572.1)". The record is from RNAcentral. Lineage: Eukaryota; Metazoa; Chordata; Mammalia; Lagomorpha; Leporidae.
GGCGUGCAGGCGCCCGGGGACUGCAGCCCACCGGGACCCCGCGCUCGGCCGCCUGCUCCCGGCGCGCUGGAAAGCCCCGGCCGGACGCCUAGUCCGCCAAAGUGCGUUCCCGUCCCGGGAGCGCUCUGGGCUUCCCGGGGAAAACUUGGCGCCAGAGUGCGGGGGAGCCCCGCGAACACGGGGCCCGUGAGGGGGCGGCCUCUGCCUGUCUGCCCCCCACCCCCACCGCCGUCCCCCCCCUCCACGGCCCGCGCUCGCCGGGGUCUGGAGGAGGGAGGGACGGGCUUGAUUCCUCCCGUGGGGAAGAAAAGCCGGGCAGCUGCCCCCGGCCUCCCCCUCCCCAGCCUCCGGCGGCCGAGGUCCGAGGAAUCCGCUCCCCCGCCCGGAAUCCCCGCGGCAGGAACGCCGGCGGGAGGGGGAGGCGGCGGCGGCCGGCCGAGGAAUCUCCGACGUGUCACUUUCCGAGGCUGUAGAUUUCCAUAUGGUGGAGGGCGGAGGCGCGCGUGCCAAGUGGGGCUGCGAGUCGGGGGGCGGCGCGGGCCCGGGGGCACGGACUCCGGCGCUGGCCGGGAGGGUCCCGCGCCCUCGCCGCGGGCCGCCCGCCCCCGGCCCGGCCCCUACGGGACACUCCCCGCCUCGCCGCUGGCCACCUUCGAGCGCGCCACGUCCUCCCUCCCCGUCCUGCCCCACAGGCUCCCCCCCGGGCUGGGGGCGGUAACCGGCGGCCGCGGCCGGACUUGGCGAGCCUGGCGGCUGGGAGCUCGGGCGGGGGAGCGGGGCGCGGCGGGAAGACGCGGGCGACCCGGAACGUGGCCAGCGGAGCUCCGGUCAGUCGGUCACCCCCGAGGGGCGCCGCGGCCGGGGGUGGGGCGGCGGGCGGAAUCCGCACCCCGAGGCGGCCGCGAGGGGCCGGGCGGGCCGGGGCCGGGGCCGCGCGGACCGUCUGGUGGCCGUGGCGGGGCGGGGGCGGCCGGCGUGGGAAGGGCCUGUCACUCUGGGCAGAAAGCCGGGCCCCGGGCUGUGCCCGCGAACUUUCCCUGGCGUCCCGGUCGAAGACGCGGACCCGGGCCCGGCGUCCCGGGAGACGGGCUGGGCCGCCGAGGCGCCGUUGGCGGGGAGGCUUCCAGGAGUGCGCUGUGGGAGUUGGAGAUUUUCGAAUCCCAGAUCCCAGCCUGCCCGCUCCGGCGAGAGGAAGCGCUGGCAUUUUAUCCAGACAGUGCCGUUUGCAGACUUCCUUCCAAGUUACAACUUUUUAUUUUCUCUCCUCUUCAGCGCAGCAUUUUCUUUAGACAAAACGUAGAAUUUGGCCGCGAUGGGCCAGGCCGGGGCCAGAAACCCUGGCGUUUAUCUCCGCAUCCCUGUUGGCUCCUAAGUCACCCUCCCCGCACCCCCUCCUUCCCCCUCCGGCGAGGCGUAAUCAUAUUUUUGAACGGGCGAGGUCUUUUGUUGGGUGGGCACCCCCAGAUUGCUUGUCUGUUUAUUUUUUAA